Molecule: ribosomal RNA, 720 nt
Filed under: Achromobacter sp. 110602_136_C_F10
Lineage: Bacteria; Pseudomonadati; Pseudomonadota; Betaproteobacteria; Burkholderiales; Alcaligenaceae
Description: bacterial SSU rRNA
Rfam family: Bacterial small subunit ribosomal RNA
Source: RNAcentral
GCUCAGAUUGAACGCUAGCGGGAUGCCUUACACAUGCAAGUCGAACGGCAGCACGGACUUCGGUCUGGUGGCGAGUGGCGAACGGGUGAGUAAUGUAUCGGAACGUGCCUAGUAGCGGGGGAUAACUACGCGAAAGCGUAGCUAAUACCGCAUACGCCCUACGGGGGAAAGCAGGGGAUCGCAAGACCUUGCACUAUUAGAGCGGCCGAUAUCGGAUUAGCUAGUUGGUGGGGUAACGGCUCACCAAGGCGACGAUCCGUAGCUGGUUUGAGAGGACGACCAGCCACACUGGGACUGAGACACGGCCCAGACUCCUACGGGAGGCAGCAGUGGGGAAUUUUGGACAAUGGGGGAAACCCUGAUCCAGCCAUCCCGCGUGUGCGAUGAAGGCCUUCGGGUUGUAAAGCACUUUUGGCAGGAAAGAAACGUCAUGGGUUAAUACCCCGUGAAACUGACGGUACCUGCAGAAUAAGCACCGGCUAACUACGUGCCAGCAGCCGCGGUAAUACGUAGGGUGCAAGCGUUAAUCGGAAUUACUGGGCGUAAAGCGUGCGCAGGCGGUUCGGAAAGAAAGAUGUGAAAUCCCAGAGCUUAACUUUGGAACUGCAUUUUUAACUACCGAGCUAGAGUGUGUCAGAGGGAGGUGGAAUUCCGCGUGUAGCAGUGAAAUGCGUAGAUAUGCGGAGGAACACCGAUGGCGAAGGCAGCCUCCUGGAUAAC